ACUCCUACGGGAGGCAGCAGUGGGAAUAUUGCACAAUGGGCGCAAGCCUGAUGCCAGCCAUGCCGCGUGAUGUAGCAAGAAUGGGCCUUCGGUUGAUGAAGCACUUUCAGUUGUGAGGAAAGGUUAGUCGCUAAUAUCGGCUAGCUGUGACGUUAGCAACAGAAGAAGCACCGGCUAACUCCGUGCCAGCAGCCGCGGUAAUACGGAGGGUGCGAGCGUUAAUCGGAAUUACUGGGCGUAAAGCGCGUGUAGGUGGCUUGUUAAGCCAGAUGUGAAAGCCCCGGGCUCAACCUGGGAACUGCAUUUGGAACUGGCAGGCUAGAGUUUUGUAGAGGGUGGUAGAAUUUCAGGUGUAGCGGUGAAAUGCGUAGAGAUCUGAAGGAACACCGGUGGCGAAGGCGACCACCUGGCCAAUAACUGACACUGAGACGCGAAGGCGUGGGUAGCAAACGGGAUUAGAUACCCUGGUAGGCUCUG
This 477-nucleotide ribosomal RNA is filed under the name uncultured bacterium. Its description in RNAcentral is "bacterial SSU rRNA". It matches the Rfam family "Bacterial small subunit ribosomal RNA", at positions 335 to 799 of the family's 1533-position model. The record is from RNAcentral.